RNAcentral lists this transfer RNA (75 nucleotides) under Candidatus Desantisbacteria bacterium CG07_land_8_20_14_0_80_39_15. RNAcentral describes it as "tRNA-Lys". It matches the Rfam family "tRNA". From Rfam's summary of the family: Transfer RNA (tRNA) molecules are approximately 80 nucleotides in length. Their secondary structure includes four short double-helical elements and three loops (D, anti-codon, and T loops). Further hydrogen bonds mediate the characteristic L-shaped molecular structure. tRNAs have two regions of fundamental functional importance: the anti-codon, which is responsible for specific mRNA codon recognition, and the 3' end, to which the tRNAs corresponding amino acid is attached (by aminoacyl-tRNA synthetases). tRNAs cope with the degeneracy of the genetic code in two manners: having more than one tRNA (with a specific anti-codon) for a particular amino acid; and 'wobble' base-pairing, i.e. permitting non-standard base-pairing at the 3rd anti-codon position. Lineage: Bacteria; Candidatus Desantisiibacteriota. The record is from RNAcentral.
GCGCUGCUAGCUCAAUGGUAGAGCAGUUCCCUCUUAAGGAAAAGGUUGCAGGUUCAAGUCCUGCGCAGCGCACCA